Molecule: ribosomal RNA, 445 nt
Filed under: uncultured bacterium
Lineage: Bacteria
Description: partial 16S ribosomal RNA
Rfam family: Bacterial small subunit ribosomal RNA
Source: RNAcentral
GUGAGGAAUAUUGGUCAAUGGACGAGAGUCUGAACCAGCCAAGUAGCGUGAAGGAUGAAGGUCCUACGGAUUGUAAACUUCUUUUAUAAGGGAAUAAACCCUCCCACGUGUGGGAGCUUGUAUGUACCUUAUGAAUAAGCAUCGGCUAACUCCGUGCCAGCAGCCGCGGUAAUACGGAGGAUGCGAGCGUUAUCCGGAUUUAUUGGGUUUAAAGGGAGCGCAGACGGGUCGUUAAGUCAGCUGUGAAAGUUUGGGGCUCAACCUUAAAAUUGCAGUUGAUACUGGCGUCCUUGAGUGCGGUUGAGGUGUGCGGAAUUCGUGGUGUAGCGGUGAAAUGCUUAGAUAUCACGAAGAACUCCGAUUGCGAAGGCAGCACACUAAGCCGUAACUGACGUUCAUGCUCGAAAGUGUGGGUAUCAAACAGGAUUAGAUACCCGGGUAGUCC